RNAcentral lists this ribosomal RNA (253 nucleotides) under uncultured bacterium. Its description in RNAcentral is "partial 16S ribosomal RNA". It matches the Rfam family "Bacterial small subunit ribosomal RNA", at positions 524 to 776 of the family's 1533-position model. The record is from RNAcentral.
UACGAAGGGGGCAAGCGUUUUUCGGAAUUACUGGGCGUAAAGGGCGCGUAGGCGGCUUAUCAAGUCAGGCGUGAAAUUCCCGGGCUCAACCUGGGGGCUGCGCUUGAUACUGAUGAGCUUGAAUGCGGGAGAGGAUAGUGGAAUUCCCAGUGUAGAGGUGAAAUUAGUAGAUAUUGGGAAGAACACCGGUGGCGAAGGCGGCUAUCUGGCCCGUAAUUGACGCUGAGGCGCGAAAGCGUGGGGAGCAAACAGG